CCUUUGGAGCGUUACAUCAAACGAGAGUAGCACUACUGGACUUGGUUCAGGAGCGAAAUUGGACGCGAUGAAUGAGGAA
Molecule: non-coding RNA, 79 nt
Filed under: unclassified sequences
Description: RAGATH-18 RNA
Rfam family: RAGATH-18 RNA
About the family: Actinobacteria, Firmicutes, Fusobacteria, Thermotogae (1 example). Nearby to self-cleaving ribozyme genes
Source: Rfam by way of RNAcentral